UUCAUCUUAAACACAAUCAUAUAAGAAGAUUAUUGGAGGUUGGUAUAGUAUCAUUUCAAUAUGUGUAGUUUAGACUCAAUUUAGCAGAUCCUUUGUCUAAAGAGUUAGGUAAGAAAUUAGUAAUGGGUUGAGAAUAAAGCCUAUUGAUUGAUUGAUUGUACUUUAUGAUAAUCCUACCUAAUGAUACAAUCUUGGGUUCAAAGAGAAAAACAAGUAAAGUUACAAUUGUGAAGCACAUCAACAAAAUUCCCUUUUUUCCUAGAAAGUGAGUAGAUGUACAUAAGUUGAGAUUCUUUUCUCUUGAUAAAUCUAUAAGACGGAUCUCAUUUGGAAUAAAUAAUAAGACUCUUGAUAGAUUCGACAAUAUUCCUACAAAAGAUAAGAAUGAUAUUAUAUUCUCUUAAUAAGUCUAUGCACCGAUUUUGAUUGGAGUGUCUAGGAACACUCUUGGUAGAUUUACUAAUACUUUUUCAUAAAGAAGGAUGUGAUUAAUUUCUCUUAAUAAAAUUCAUAGACUAUUUGAUCGGAGUAUGUAAAGUUUGUCUUAAUGAAUUCACCGCACUAAGUGCAAAGUGGAGGCCACUCCAAUAAGAUUUUGACAGAGAAAUCUUAAAGCACUAAGCUAAAGGAUUCAGGACACAUGACAUAAGGUAUCAAAGAAUUUUUAUUUUCACCGAAAUAUAGUAAUAUGCAUGGAGGUAUUUUCUACUUCAUUCAAUGAACUACUUAGGUCAUGAUUUUUUUACUAAAUAGUCAAUGAUUUAGAAUGUCUUCACUACCUAAUGGUUCAAGUCCAAAAUACAACAUUAUUGAUGCAUGUUGCUAGAUUAAUAUCUCAAUUGAAUUUUAUUUUUUAAACAUAAAAUUUCUUGAAACAAGUGGGAGAUUGUUAUUGUUAAAGUUUAUGUUUCAAUCAUUUUUGAAAUAAAUACAAAGUUUAGAACUCUUUUGAGUUAUGUUUCAAUUAGUUUUGAAACUGUAACACCCCGCAUCGUCCAUGAGUUAGCUUGUGGUAAUAUGCUCUUAGAGUUAAAGACUAGAAAAUUAUUUUUUCCGAAUUUUGACUUUUCUUCACAUAGGAAAUUUGAUAAGUUUUUCACCAAUUUAAUAUUCUCCCAAAUCCGAUACCUGGGAAAUAAAUUAUGGUUAAUUUAAGUCCUGGUCAAAAAACAGCGCCAUUUUAGUGCAUGGCACGUCGCGGAGGGGGUCUAUUUAACAAUCGUCAAAUUCCAGUAGCCUAUCACAAUUAUGGUGUGUCGCGCUGAAGUUCCAGAUCCUAACCAGUGGGACAACGCGAUGGCUCCACAUCGCGGUGACCUUAAGAAUCUCAUUCGUCAAUUUCUAGUGAGCCAUCGCAAUUGAGGCGCAACACGGUGGCCCAAAAAAUUGGGCUCCCAGUUAUAUUUUAUUCCAUCUCAUUAAGGGUAUAUGAGGUAUUUCCCCCCUCCCAUUGUCAGCUUAAACACGGGAUUAUGCUCCUUGGUGACCAUAUUAUUCAUACUUUCUUCAAAAUUCACAAGAACACUCUCUAGGGUUUCAAACUAAAAACCCAAUUAACUCAAGAUUCAACUGUGGGUGUUCGAAACUGAGUUAAGAUUUGGAAUCCCCAAACUGUAGGCUUCAAGAAUCAUCCAUCAAAUUUCUAACUUGAGGUACGUGGGAUUUAUCCUAAAAACUACAUAGGCUUGCAAACACUAGAUCAUGAUUUAAAGAUUAUCAAGCAUGAAUUUUAAAGGGGGUUUUCGAAUCUAUGUUUUAAUUAUGCAUCAUAAAUGUUUUGAUGAUAUUAUUGAUUUGGCCUUUAGGUAUUUCCCCCUUGAAUUAAUUUACAAGUAUAUGUAUAUGUAUGAAAACUGAGAUUGAAGAUUGUUUGAGAGCACAUAUUAUUAAACCCCUCUUGUAUGCUGAAUUAAAGAUUAUGGUUUUGUUGGAAAAGGGUUGAAAUGCAUGCCUUGUGAUUUGAAAGUAGUUUUAUCAAUGUCAUAGCAAUUGAAACAUGAUUUAGAAAUAAUAAGAGGGUGUUUCUUGAUGCUAAUAUGAUGUUCUUGUGUUAAAGAGAAAGAAAUGCAUGUAAUUGAGAAGUUUGACAUGACCACCUUGAAUUCUUGAAAUGUUGAUAAAGAGAGUUUCCUUGCAUAUGUUUACAUGAGUUUUAAAGAAUGAGUUUCUUGAAAACAAUUGUUGAUAUCGUGGUCCUAAAUUCCAUGUUUUGAGAACAGAUAUAUAAUUUCCUAUAAAUGGCUUAGAGAAUGUAACUUGCAAGUCAAUGGUAUGACGAUACCAUAUAAAUGUAUGCCAUAACAUAGUUAGAGUUUUCAGAGUAUGUUUUCAGAGAAUACAUGUAUUAAAGAGUUAAAAAUAGGCAUAAAGAGAGCUAGGUAGUUGCCUGAAGAGGGUUUGAGUUCAAGUAACUCUUAAUCUAAAAUCGUGAUUUGCCGAUCCAGGUAUAUUAUUUUACGCUGGCGACGGUCGUGUGGCAUAGAGUUAGAGACUCUAACCCUUGCGGCACACUAGGGUUCGAGGCUUCCCCCACCGAGUCAAUGAAGAGUUCCAUAUAGCCUGUGGAAUUUCAGACUUGUAGGGUACACCACCUAGCGCAGAAGUAAAACAAAGAAUGUCAUAGAUUUCAGAUGAUUUUACAGAGUCUUUAAAAAAUGCCCAUGAGAUUACUUACUAUAUGAUAUGUUUAUGAAAUAUUUUAAAUUUCUCUCAUAUAUGUUCAAUAUAAAUUAUUAUUUUGGAUUUGCUCUACGUACCAGUACAAUUGUAUUGACUCCCUACCUCUCAGGUUUAGAAGUUUAGUCUAGGGGUCUAGCUAAUCAGUAGAGUAUCCAGGGAGAGUUGAUCCAUGCAGUGAUGAGCCUUCUUUGUUCAAGAAGGCCUGUGAUUUUAGACUAUGUUAUUCCUUUGUUUUUAUCUAGGGGCCUUGUCCCAGCUUUUUAGACAAUUAUCUUAAGAUCAUGUAGUAGAGAUUUUGCAGACUGUUCUAGAAGUUGUUUAGUUGAUUUCAGAUUUUAUUUCGUAUGGUUAAACUAAAUCCAGAGUAUGACCAUUUUUCUGUAUUAGAUUAUAAUUCCAUAUUUUCUUUUAUUAUUUAAAUGCUAUGCAUGAUUUCCAGAUCAGAUAGAGUAGGACGUCUGGGCAUUCAUGGUUCAAGAUAUCCGUCAUGGCCAGGCCCUAGUUCGUGUCGUGACAAACUUGGUAUUAGAGCACGAUUCAUCGUCCUAGGGUGUCUGCAAAAUCACAUUGGGUAGAAUCUUGUUUAUGGGUGUGUAGCAAAAUCGCACAGUUCAUGACAAUCAUGCCUCCCUAUCGUACUACUGAUCAGAAUUCACAAACAGAUGAGGUCCGUACCACUCAUUGGAUUAGGACCCAAAACAGAGCUUAGACUCCAGAGAUUAAUGAUACUCCAGAAGUCCCACCUACUCAGACCAGCCCACCUAGGGCACCAGAGCUUCUCGAAUAGGGACUAACUCACUCAGCCUCGUAAGAGAGAGAUAUCUAAUGCAUAAUUUAGUCAAUCCAUUUACAUGCUUGCACAAUUGGUAGCCACAAAGACUCAACGGUUGGAAGAUAUUGGGUCUACAUUUGCAUGUCUGAGUCUACAAGAGUGGUCUAGUUUAUGAGAAUGAACCCGCCCAAGUUUACUGGUACCAAGGUUGAAGAGGAUCCACAGGAGUUUAUGGACGAGAUGGAGAAGAUCUUUAAGGUGAUCCAUUUAGAUGAGGUAGAGCAGGUUAAGUUAGCAGCUUACCAACUUAAGGAUGUAGAGAACCAAUGGUAUAACAAGUGGGAAGAUUCAAAGGGUAAGAGUGCUGAGCCCACAGUUUGGGCCGAGUUCGUGGAAGCCUUCCUUGAUCGAUUCUUUCUUCUCGAGCUGAGAGAGGCCAAAGUUGAAGAGUUUAUAAAUCUAAAGCAAGGAAAGAUGAGUGUCCAAGAGUAUAUUCUGAGGUUCAACCAACUAGCCCGUUAUGCUCCAGAGAUGACUAGUAAUAUGAGAGCCCAAAUGAGGAAAUUUACAUCCGGCCUUUCAGAUGACUUAGUUCUUGAAUGUCAGAGACCAAUGUUGAACUGGGACAUGGAUUUUGCCAGACUAUCAGUCGACAUAUAGUAAGUUGAGGAAAAGAAAAAGAAAAUCACUGAAUCUAGAGAGAAGGAUUGGCAGGCAAAGAGAGACAAGAUGGAAGACCAGAGCCACAGUCAGUAGCAGAGUGGGAAUUGGGGUAACAAAUGGCAGAAGAAGAAGUUUUAGGGUAAUGCAUAGUCUGCAGCUAGUGCUAUGGUGUCCAGACCCCUAGUUGGACAGCACCUCCAAGAUUUUUAGUCCAGGCAAGGGUCGAGAAUGCAGGGUUCACAAUCUUAAGAAAGUGUAGCUCAAACCUCUCGAACAUACCCACACUGUGAGAAAUGUGGGAGAAAUCAUCCAGGUAGGUAUCAGUUUGGUGCUAUGGUGUGUUAUUUGUGUGGCCAACCAUUCCAUAUCCGGAGAGAUUGUCUGGCAGCAAAGGGUAAUAUUGGCGGAGCCAAGUUACAUGCUAAUUCUUCUGCACCACCACCACCUCAGAAGGGUGACACUUCAACCGUGGGAAGUGGCCGCAACCAGUUGUACACCUUACCCAACCGCCAAGAGGUAGAGGCCUCACCGGAUGUAGUUACUGGCACGUUGCAGAUCUUUUUUCGUGAUGUAUAUGUGCUACUUGAUCUCGAUUCUACCCUAUCUUACAUGACACCUUAUGUGGCUGUUAGUUUUAGGUUCGAUCCCGAUGUGAUUGUCAAACUUUUUUCUGUUUCUAAUUCGGUGGGAGAUUUUAUUGUGGCUAGGAGGGUGUAUAGAAAUUGUGUGGUAACUUUUUGUAGGCGGGAUAUUGUGGAAGGCCUCAUAGACUUAGACAUGGUUGAUUUUGAUGCUAUCCUAGGGAUGGACUGGCUCUAUUCGUGUUAUGCCACGUUAGAUUGUAGAACCCAAAAGGUUACUUUUUCCUUCCCGAAUCAACUAGUAAUAGAAUGGGAGGGACAUUCCUUAGCACCUAGAGAGAACUUUAUAUCUUACCUCAGAGCCCGUAAACUUAUUUCUACGGGCUGCUUAUAUCAUCUUAUUCUGGUUAAAGAUUCGAAUACCAAAAGCCUUUCUCUUCAGUCUGCCCUAUGGUGAAUGAGUUCCCAAGAGUUUUUCCUGAUGAUCUCCUAGGCAUACCACCUGAUAGGGAGAUAGAUUUUGGUAUUGAUUUGUUGCUUGAUACCCAUCCCAUCUCUUUUCUACCAUAUAGAAUGGCUCCUGCAGAACUGAAAGAGUUGAAAGAACAGCUAGCAAAUCUUCUAGAGAAAUAUUUUAUCUGUCUUAGUAUUUCUCCCUAGGUUGCACCUAUACUCUUCAUGCGAAAGAAAGAUGGUUCCCUUCGUAUGUGCAUAGAUUAUCGCCAGUUAAACAAGGUCACUAUUAAAAAUAAAUAUCCUCUUCCUAGAAUUGAUGAUCUUUUUGACCAUCUUUAAGGUGCUAGAUGUUUUUCAAAGAUAGACCUUCAUUUGAAAUACCAUCAGUUGAAAUUUAGAGAGUUAGACAUUCCCAAAACAGCUUUCCAAACCAAAUACGAUCAUUAUGAAUUCUUAGUUAUGUCCUUCGGGUUGACUAACGCCCCUGCAGCCUUUAUGGAUCUUAUGAACAGGGUGUUCCAUCAGUUUCUGGAUUUAUUUGUCAUAUUUUUUAUUGAAGAUAUCUUGAUUUAUUCUAAGAGUGAGGAAGAUCAUGUCAAUCACCUUCAAAUCAUCCUCCAGACUUUCAAAGAUCAUAGGUUUUAUGCAAAGUUUUCCAAGUGUGAAUUCUGGCUUAAUGAUAUUGCUUUCUUGGGGCAUAUUGUGUCUAGUGACGGGACUAAGAUUGAUCCCCAAAAGGUUGAGGCAAUGGGAAAAUGGCCCAGACCCAUGACUCCAACCGACAUUCAAAGCUUCUUGGGUUUGGUGGGGUAUUACAGAAGGUUCAUAGAGAGUUUCUUAUCCAUAGCUGCACCACUCACUAAGUUGACAUAUAAAAAGUUAAAGUUUAUGUGGUCUGACUCCUGUGAGAAUAGUUUUGAGAAAUUGAAAGACAAGUUUACCACUACACCUAUUUUGACUCUUUCAGAAGGUAUAGAGGUUUUUGUUGUGUAUUGUGAUGUGUUCCGAGUGGGACUUAAGUGUGUACUUAUGCAGCACGGUAAAGUGAUGGCUUAUGUGUCUAGGUAGUUAAAAGUGCAUGAGAGAAAUUACCCCACCCAUGACUUGAAGUUAGCAGUUGUGGUGUUUACGCUUAAAAUCUGGUAGCAUUAUCUCUGUUAGGUAUAUGUUGAUAUAUUUAUUGACCAUAAGAGUUUACAAUAUAUUUUCUUGCAGACAGAAUUAAACCUCAAGCAAUGACAAUGGUAGGAGCUUUCGAAGGAUUAUGACAUAAGCCUGCACUACCAUCCGGGGAAGGCAAAUAUAGUAGCCGACGCCCUCAGAAGGCUAUAUAUGGGUAGCCUUUCAUACCUUAAAAAGGGGAAGAGGGAGAUGGUAAAGGAUAUUCACCAGCUUGCAAAUCUAGGAGUACGACUCUUGGAUUCCAAAGAUGGGGGAGUGGUUGUUCAUGAGGUAGAUAAGUCUUCCCUUUGUGCUGAAGUUAAAGAAAAGCAUAUUGAAGAUCCCAUCUUGAUGCAGAUCAAGAAAGAUGUAGGUUAACAGAAGGUGGUGUCUUUUGAAAUUGGUGGUGAUGGAAUUUUGAGAUAUCAGGGUAGACUAUAUGUGCCAGAUGUUGAUAGGUUACGAAAGAGGAUCCUUGAUGAAGCUCACACGUUGAGGUAUGUUGCUCACCCAGGCUCUACUAAGAUGUAUCAUAAUCUGAAAACCAUAUACUGGUGGAAUAAUAUGAAGUGUGAUGUGGCUAACUUUUUUGCCAAGUGUUUGAAUUGUCAAUAAAUGAAAGUAGAGCAUAUGAGGCCAGAUGGUACCUCCCAAGAGAUAUCUUUUCCCUUAUGGAAGUGAGAGAUGGUUAAUAUGGACUUUAUCAUGGGACUUCUGAGGUCCUAAAACUAGUAUAAUUCUAUUUGGGUAAUUGUAGACCGGCUGACCAAGUUAGCCCACUUUCUUCCUGUGAGAACCAACUAUUCGGGAGAUGACUAUGCCAAGUUAUACAUCGAGGAGAUAGUUCGUUUGCAUAGAGCACCUGUAUCCAUCAUAUCUGACAGAGGUACGCAAUUCUCUUCAUAGUUCUGGAGAUCUUUUCAAAGGGGUUUAUGUACCUAAUUGAACCUGAGUACGACUUUCCACCCUUAGAAGGAUGGGCAAGCCAAACGUACUAUUCAGACCCUUGAAGAUAUAUUGAGAGCUUGUGUGAUUGACUUCAAAGGUAGUUUGGUAGAUCAUUUUCCAUUGAUAGAGUUUGCUUAUAAUAACAGCUACUAUACUAGUAUUAAGAUGGCUCCAUUUGAAGCUUUGUAUGGAAAAAGAUAUAGAUCACCAAUAGGGUGGUAUGAAGUGGAUGAGACUCAGUUGUUUGGGCCUAAUCUUGUUCAUCAGGCGAUGGAGGAUGUGAAAAUUAUUAGAAAAUGACUUAAAACAUCCUAGAGUAGACAGAAAUCCUAUGUCGAUGUUCAGAGAAGGGAGCUAUAAUUUGAAGUUGGUGAUUGGGUAUUUCUCAAAGUCUCCCCUAUGAAGGGAGUUAUGCGAUUCGGGAAGAAAGGUAAGCUAAGUCCUUGCUAUAUAGGGCCAUACCAGAUUUUGAGAAGGAUAGGUGGAGUUGCAUAUGAGUUAGAGUUGCCUACAAGUUUGGGUUUUGUUCAUCCGAUAUUUCACAUAUCCAUGUUGAAAAAAUAUAUUGGAGACAAUUCAUUAGUGUUGCCUGUAGAGGAGGUUAAAGUGAUAGACUCUUUAUCCUAUGAAGAGAAUCCUAUCGCAAUAUUAGAUCAUCAAGUUAGAAAGUUGAGGAGAAAGGAGAUAACUUUGGUUAAAGUGUUGUGGAAAAAUCAGAAAGUAGAGGAAGCAACUUGGGAAUCAGAAGAGGACAUGAGAGAUAUAUACCCAGACUUAUUUGAUCCGGUUAAUGACGAAAUGGAAGGUACAAUCCUUGUCUUAUUCUUUUAUGGCCUUAGUAUGUUUGAAAUCAUGAUUUUCUGUGUUCUGCGUCAUCAUUCGGGGACGAAUAAUCUCCAGGGGGGAUAAUGUAACACCCCGCAUCAUCCAUGAGUUAGCUCGUGAUAAUAUACUCUUAGAGUUAAAGACUGGGAAAUUAUUUUUUCCUAAUUUCAACUUUUCUUCACAUAGGAAAUUUGAUAAGCUUUUCGCCGAUUUAAGAUUCGCCCAAAUCCGAUACCCGGGCAAGAAAUUAUGGCUAAUUUAAGUCCUAGUCAAAAAACACCAUUAUUUUUGUGCUUGGCACAUCGCGGAGGGGGUCUAUUUAACAAUUGGGAAAUUUCAGUAGCCUAGUACAAUUUUAGCGCGUCGUGCUAAAGUUCCAGACCCAACAAGUGGGACAACGCGAUGGCUCCGCAUCGCGGUGACCCUAAGAAUACCAUUCGCAAUAAGUGGGACAACGCGAUGGCUCCGCAUCGCGGUGACCCUAAGAAUACCAUUCGCAAUAAGUGGGACAACGCGAUGGCUCCGCAUCGCGGUGACCCUAAGAAUACCAUUCGCAAUAAGUGGGACAACGCGAUGGCUCCGCAUCGCGGUGACCCUAAGAAUACCAUUCGCAAUAAGUGGGACAACGCGAUGGCUCCGCAUCGCGGUGACCCUAAGAAUACCAUUCGCAAUAAGUGGGACAACGCGAUGGCUCCGCAUCGCAAGUGACCACAUUAUUUAUACUUUCUUCAAAAUUCACAAGAACACUCUCUAAGAUUUCAAACUAAAAAUCCAAUUAACUCAAGAUUCAACCGUGGGUGUUCAAAACUGAGUGAAGAUUUGGAAUUCCCAAAUCAUAGGCUUUAAAAUCAUCUAUCAAAUUUCUAAAUUUAGGUACGUGGGGUUUAUCCUAAAAACUGCAUGGGCUUGUAAACACUAGAUCAUGAUUUAAAGAUUAUCAAGCAUGAAUUUUAAAGGUGUUUUUGGAAUCUAUGUUUUAAUUAUGCAUUAUAAAUGUUUUUAUGAUAUUGUUGAUUCGGCCUUGAGGUCUUUCCCCUUUGAAUUGAUUUACAAGUAUAUGUAUAUGUAUGAAAACUGAGGUUGAAGAUUGUUUGAGAGCACAUAUUAUGAAACCCCUCUCGUAUGUUGAAUUAAAGAUUAUGGUUUUGUCGGAAAAGAGUUGAAAUGCAUGCCUUGUAAUUUGAAAGUAGUCUUCUAGUGUCAUAGCAAUUGAAACAUAAUUUAAAAAUAACGAGAGGGUGUUUCUUGAUGUUACUAUGAUGUUCUUGUAUUAACGAGAAAGAAAUGCAUGUAAUUGAGAACUUUGACAUGACCACCUUGAAUUCUUGAAAUGUUGACAAAGAGAGUUUCCUUUCAUAUGUUUACAUGAGUUUUAAAGAAUGAGUUUCUUGAAAAGAAUUGUUGAUAUGGUGGUCCUAAAUUCCAUGUUUUGAGAACAGAGAUAUAAUUUGCAAUAAAUGGCUCAAAGAAUGUGAUUUGCAAGUCAAUGGUAUGACGAUACCAUAUAAAUGUAUGCCAUAACAGAGUUAGAGUUUUUAGAGUAUGUUUUCAGAGAAUGCAUGUCUUAAAGAGUUAAAAAUGGGCAUAAAGAGAGAUAGGUGGUUGCCUGAAGAGGGUUUGAGUUCAAGUAACUCUUAACCUAUAACCCUAAUUUGCCGAUCCGGGUAUAUUAUUUUACAUUGACGACGGCCGUGUGGUGUAGCAGAGUCAGAGACUCCAACCCUUGCGGCACACUUGGGUUCGAGGCUUCCCCGCUGAGUCAAUGACGAAUUCCAUAUAGCCCGUGGAAUGUAAGAGUUGUAGAGUAUACCACCUAGCGCAGAAGUAAAACAAAGAGUGUCACAGAGUUCAGAUGAUUUUAUAGAGUCUUUCAGAAAUGCCCAUGAGAUUUCUUACUAUAUGAUAUGUUUAUGAAAUAUUUUAAAUUGCUCUCAUAUACGUUGAAUAUAAAUUAUUAUGUUGAAUUUUAUCUGCGUACCAGUACAAUUGUAUUGAACCCCUACCUCCCAGGUUUGGAGGCUCAGUCUAGGGGUCCAGCUAAUCAGUAGAGUAUCCAGGGAGAAGUGAUCCGUGCAGGGGUGAGCCUUCUUUGUUCCAGAAGGCUGUCAUUUCAGAUUAUGUUAUUCCUUUGUUUUGGUCUACUGGGGGCCUUGUCCCAGCUUUUCAGACAGUUGACUUUAGAUCAUGUAGUAGAGAUUUCGCAAACUGUUCUAGAAGUUGUUUAGUUGAUUUGGGAUUUCAUUCCGUAUGGUUAAACUGAAUCCAGGGUAUGACCAUGUUUCCGUAUUAGAUUAUAAUUCCGCAUUUUCUUUUAUUAUAUAAAUGUUGUGCAUAAUUUCUAGAACAGAUAGAGUAGAAUGUCUGGGCCUUCAUGGUUCGGGAUGUCCGUCGCGGCCAGGCCUUAGUUUGGGUCGUGACAGAAACAAAUGCAUUAGUUAAAAGUAUUGAGUUACAAAGAACAUGAAUGUGAAUUUGACAAAUUCAU
This 10570-nucleotide long non-coding RNA is filed under the name Capsicum annuum. RNAcentral's name for it is "long non-coding RNA (CANN_LNC010431)". The record is from RNAcentral. Lineage: Eukaryota; Viridiplantae; Streptophyta; Magnoliopsida; Solanales; Solanaceae.